UACAUAGGUCGCGAGCGUUAUUCGGAUUUAUUGGGCGUAAAGCAAGCGCAGGCGGAUUGACAAGUUCUGUGUUAAAAGCAGCUGCUCAACAGUUGUUUGCACCGAAUACUGCCAAUCUAGAAUGUGGUAGGAAGUUUUGGAAUUAAAUGUGGAGCGGUGGAAUGUGUAGAUAUAUUUAAGAACACCAGAGGCGAAAGCGAAAACUUAGGCCAUUAUUGACGCUUAGGCUUGAAAGUGUGGGUAGCAAAUG
RNAcentral lists this ribosomal RNA (250 nucleotides) under uncultured Mycoplasma sp. RNAcentral's name for it is "partial 16S ribosomal RNA". It matches the Rfam family "Bacterial small subunit ribosomal RNA", at positions 524 to 774 of the family's 1533-position model. Lineage: Bacteria; Bacillati; Mycoplasmatota; Mollicutes; Mycoplasmatales; Mycoplasmataceae. The record is from RNAcentral.